UCUAGAGUCUGCUACACUAAGCAGUUGGGCCCAUACCCCAAAAACGGCACAUCCUUGCCCUCUAGCA
Molecule: transfer RNA, 67 nt
Filed under: Japalura variegata
Lineage: Eukaryota; Metazoa; Chordata; Lepidosauria; Squamata; Agamidae
Description: tRNA-Met
Source: RNAcentral